This 240-nucleotide unclassified non-coding RNA is filed under the name soil metagenome. RNAcentral describes it as "partial contains 5.8S ribosomal RNA, internal transcribed spacer 2, and large subunit ribosomal RNA". The record is from RNAcentral.
AACCUUAUGGACCUGCGGGCGUAUACCUGCGGAAGGAUCAUUAACCUUUCAAAAAACAGGGUGCGUCGCGGCCCCCCUCCGGGGGCGGUUUGGGGUCCUCCCCUUCACGCGCGCACGACUGCAUCCUUACUUUACGAGCACCUUCUGUUCUCCCUCGGCGGGGCAGCCUGCCGUUGGAACCGAAUAAACCCUUUUUUGCAUCCAGCAUUACCCGUUCCGAAACAAACAAUCGUUACAACU